This 360-nucleotide ribosomal RNA is filed under the name Triticum aestivum (bread wheat). RNAcentral describes it as "partial small subunit ribosomal RNA". Lineage: Eukaryota; Viridiplantae; Streptophyta; Magnoliopsida; Poales; Poaceae. The record is from RNAcentral.
AUGGCGAAGAGCUCGUUCAAGCUGGAGCACCCGCUCGAGAGGAGGCAGGCGGAGGCUAACCGCAUAAGGGAGAAGUACUCUGACAGAAUUCCUGUGAUCGUUGAGAAGGCUGGGAAGAGUGAUAUUCCUGACAUUGACAAGAAAAAGUACCUCGUCCCCGCCGACCUUACGGUUGGACAGUUCGUGUAUGUUGUCCGGAAGCGGAUCAAGCUCAGUGCUGAGAAGGCGAUCUUCAUCUUUGUGAAGAACACUCUUCCACCGACAGCUGCCCUGAUGUCUGCCAUUUACGAGGAGAACAAGGACGAGGACGGCUUCCUCUACAUGACCUACAGCGGCGAGAACACCUUCGGAUUGCUCUAG